CCUUACCGAUCGGUAACCGGCGGUUACCGCCGAUUUUUACCGAUACCGGUGAAAGGCGAUAACACAAACCGGCGGUAAAUUAUGAAAAAUUUCGCCAAAGUUUAAAAUUUUCAAAAAAAUUUGAAAUAAAUUACGCAAAAAUAUGGUAAGAAAGUAGAGAUCACAUACAUCAUUCUGAUAUAGAACAUGUUCAAAUAUUUGACCAUUUGGGCACCGAAAAAAAAUAAAAAAACAUUCGGAACCCGUUAAGACCCAUUAACCCGUUAACCCAUUAGCUUUUUUUACUACCCCACCGACACCCCCAUGUCCCCAUCUAACCCGUGAGUCACUUUCCCCUCCCCCUCCACCCCUUUCGCCCGAGCUCCGGCGAUAUCAAGGCGAUCCCCGUCGAUUUCGGCUUCAAGACGAUAUUUAUCGCCGGUAAGGCGGCGGAAGCCGGGAGGUAGGAGCGGGAAUCGCUCGCUCGGCCGCCGGCCUGCCGCGGACGCCGGUAAACGUCGGUAAAUCGGUGGUUUCCGGUGGUAAGGCGGCGAUUACCGACGGUACGGUGUCGGUAGAGAAACCGGUGUGGCUGUCGUGGAGUGGGAUCCGCUAAUACCGAGCGGUAUUUGGAGAUUCCCGAGCGGUUUUCGUCGCUUUUGGACCGGCAAAUGGUGGAUCCGGUGUGGGAGCAUGGAGAGAAGAGAGGUAAUGGAUGGAAGUGCAACUAUUGCCAUCAACAGAGGAAUGGGGGAGGAGCAACAAGGCUUAAGGAGCAUUUGGCGCAACGUGGGAAGGAUGCGAAGGACUGUCCUUCGGUCCCUCUUGAAGUGAAGACGUUUUUUAACCGUGAGCUUGACAG
Molecule: long non-coding RNA, 841 nt
Organism: Panicum virgatum (switchgrass)
Lineage: Eukaryota; Viridiplantae; Streptophyta; Magnoliopsida; Poales; Poaceae
Exons: 2
Source: RefSeq, a predicted model, not a curated record